Molecule: ribosomal RNA, 585 nt
Filed under: uncultured bacterium
Lineage: Bacteria
Description: bacterial SSU rRNA
Rfam family: Bacterial small subunit ribosomal RNA
Source: RNAcentral
CCUACGGGAGGCAGCAGUGGGGAAUUUUGGACAAUGGGCGCAAGCCUGAUCCAGCAAUGCCGCGUGCAGGAUGAAGGCCUUCGGGUUGUAAACUGCUUUUGUACGGAGCGAAACGGUCUACUCUAAUACAGUGGGCUAAUGACGGUACCGUAAGAAUAAGCACCGGCUAACUACGUGCCAGCAGCCGCGGUAAUACGUAGGGUGCGAGCGUUAAUCGGAAUUACUGGGCGUAAAGCGUGCGCAGGCGGUUAUAUAAGACAGAUGUGAAAUCCCCGGGCUCAACCUGGGACCUGCAUUUGUGACUGUAUAGCUAGAGUGCGGCAGAGGGGGAUGGAAUUCCGCGUGUAGCAGUGAAAUGCGUAGAUAUGCGGAGGAACACCGAUGGCGAAGGCAAUCCCCUGGGCCUGCACUGACGCUCAUGCACGAAAGCGUGGGGAGCAAACAGGAUUAGAUACCCUGGUAGUCCACGCCCUAAACGAUGUCAACUGGUUGUUGGGUCUUCACUGACUCAGUAACGAAGCUAACGCGUGAAGUUGACCGCCUGGGGAGUACGGCCGCGAAGGUUGAAACUCAAAGGAUUGACGG